GACGAACGCUGGCGGCGUGCUUAACACAUGCAAGUCGAACGGAAAGGCCCUGCUUUUGUGGGGUGCUCGAGUGGCGAACGGGUGAGUAACACGUGAGUAACCUGCCCUUGACUUUGGGAUAACUUCAGGAAACUGGGGCUAAUACCGGAUAGGAGCUCCUGCUGCAUGGUGGGGGUUGGAAAGUUUCGGCGGUUGGGGAUGGACUCGCGGCUUAUCAGCUUGUUGGUGGGGUAGUGGCUUACCAAGGCUUUGACGGGUAGCCGGCCUGAGAGGGUGACCGGCGACAUUGGGACUGAGAUACGGCCCAGACUCCUACGGGAGGCAGCAGUGGGGAAUAUUGCACAAUGGGCGGAAGCCUGAUGCAGCAACGCCGCGUGCGGGAUGACGGCCUUCGGGUUGUAAACCGCUUUAGCCUGUGACGAAGCGUGAGUGACGGUAAUGGGUAAAGAAGCACCGGCUAACUACGUG
This 468-nucleotide ribosomal RNA is filed under the name uncultured bacterium. Its description in RNAcentral is "partial 16S ribosomal RNA". It matches the Rfam family "Bacterial small subunit ribosomal RNA", at positions 28 to 507 of the family's 1533-position model. The record is from RNAcentral.